RNAcentral lists this ribosomal RNA (468 nucleotides) under uncultured bacterium. Its description in RNAcentral is "partial 16S ribosomal RNA". It matches the Rfam family "Bacterial small subunit ribosomal RNA", at positions 28 to 507 of the family's 1533-position model. The record is from RNAcentral.
GACGAACGCUGGCGGCGUGCUUAACACAUGCAACUCGAACGGAAAGGCCCUGCUUUUGUGGGGUGCUCGAGUGGCGAACGGGUGAGUAACACGUGAGUAACCUGCCCUUGACUUUGGGAUAACUUCAGGAAACUGGGGCUAAUACCGGAUAGGAGCUCCUGCUGCAUGGGGGGGGUUGGAAAGUUUCGGCGGUUGGGGAUGGACUCGCGGCUUAUCAGCUUGUUGGUGGGGUAGUGGCUUACCAAGGCUUUGACGGGUAGCCGGCCUGAGAGGGUGACCGGCCACAUUGGGACUGAGCUACGGCCCAGACUCCUACGGGAGGCAGGAGUGGGGAAUAUUGCACAAUGGGCGGAAGCCUGACGCAGCAACGCCGCGGGCGGGAUGACGGCCUUCGGGUUGUAAACCGCUUUCGCCUGUGACGAAGCGUGAGUGACGGUAAUGGGUAAAGAAGCACCGGCUAACUACGUG